GCCUUCGUGGUGUAGUGGUCAGCACGCUCGACGCGUAACCGAGAGGUCCGUGGUUCGAUUCCCGGCGAAGUA
Molecule: transfer RNA, 72 nt
Filed under: Stegodyphus mimosarum
Lineage: Eukaryota; Metazoa; Arthropoda; Arachnida; Araneae; Eresidae
Rfam family: tRNA
About the family: Transfer RNA (tRNA) molecules are approximately 80 nucleotides in length. Their secondary structure includes four short double-helical elements and three loops (D, anti-codon, and T loops).
Source: Rfam by way of RNAcentral